AGCUUGGAGGGUUUGAUCCUGGCUCAGGGUGAACGCUGGCGGCGUGCCUAACACAUGCAAGUCGAGCGGUGCAGCUGGAGGCUUCGGCCGAAGGCUGCAUAGCGGCGGACGGGUGCGUAACGCGUAGGAACGUGCCCCCUGGAGGCGGAUAGCCGCGGGAAACUGCGGGUAAACCGCCAUAGACUCGGGAGAGUAAAGGCCGGAAGGCGCCAGGGGAGCGGCCUGCGUCCCAUCAGGUAGUUGGUAGGGUAACGGCCUACCAAGCCUACGACGGGUAGCCGGUCUGAGAGGAUGGCCGGCCACAAGGGCACUGAGACACGGGCCCUACUCCUACGGGAGGCAGCAGUGGGGGAUAUUGGACAAUGGGCGAAAGCCUGAUCCAGCGACGCCGCGUGGAGGACGAAGCCCUUCGGGGUGUAAACUCCUUUUGUCGGGGAAAAAGGGCUGAUGGUACCCGACGAAUAAGCCCCGGCUAACUACGUGCCAGCAGCCGCGGUAAUACGUAGGGGGCGAGCGUUACCCGGAAUCACUGGGCGUAAAGGGUGCGUAGGCGGCCGCGUGUGUCUGGCGUAAAAUUCCACGGCUCAACCGUGGGUAUGCGCUGGAAACUACGUGGCUUGGGUGCGGCAGAGGCAGACGGAACUGCUGGUGUAGGGGUGAAAUCCGUAGAUAUCAGCAGGAACGCCGGUGGAGAAGUCGGUCUGCUGGGCCGUAACCGACGCUGAGGCACGAAAGCUAGGGGAGCGAACCGGAUUAGAUACCCGGGUAGUCCUAGCCGUAAACGAUGCUCACUAGGUGUGGGGGCGGAAGCCUCCGUGCUGAAGCAAACGCGAUAAGUGAGCCGCCUGGGGAGUACGCCCGCAAGGGUGAAACUCAAAGGAAUUGACGGGGGCCCGCACAAGCGGUGGAGCGUGUGGUUUAAUUGGAAGCUAAGCCAAGAACCUUACCAGGGCUUGACAUGCUGGUGGUACCGAGCCGAAAGGUGAGGGACCCUGCCGAAAGGUAGGGAGCCAGCACAGGUGGUGCACGGUCGUCGUCAGCUCGUGCCGUGAGGUGUUGGGUUAAGUCCCGCAACGAGCGCAACCCCUGCCCUUAGUUGCCAGCGGUUCGGCCGGGCACUCUAAGGGGACUGCCGGCGACGAGCCGGAGGAAGGAGGGGAUGACGUCAGAUACUCGUGCCCCUUAUGUCCUGGGCGACACACGCGCUACAAUGGGGUGGACAGCGGGAAGCGAGGCAGCGAUGCUGAGCAAAACCCUGAAACCACCCCCCAGUUCAGAUUGUGGGCUGAAACCCGCCCACAUGAAGCCGGAAUCGCUAGUAAUCGCGGAUCAGCCACGCCGCGGUGAAUACGUUCCCGGGCCUUGUACACACCGCCCGUCAAGCCACCCGAGUCGCGGGCACCCGAAGACGGUGACUCUUAGGGGCGCCGUUGAGGGUGAACGUGGUGAGGGGGGCUAAGUCGUAACAAGGUAGGUGUACCGGAAGGUGCGCCUGGAUCACCUCCUUUCUAAGGA
Molecule: ribosomal RNA, 1515 nt
Filed under: Fervidobacterium pennivorans
Lineage: Bacteria; Thermotogati; Thermotogota; Thermotogae; Thermotogales; Fervidobacteriaceae
Description: bacterial SSU rRNA
Rfam family: Bacterial small subunit ribosomal RNA
Source: RNAcentral